GACGAACGCUGGCGGCGUGCUUAACACAUGCCAGUCGAACGGAAAGGCCCUGCUUUUGUGGGGUGCUCGAGUGGCGAACGGGUGAGUAACACGUGAGUAACCUGCCCUUGACUUUGUGAUAACUUCAGGAAACUGGGGCUAAUACCGGAUAGGAGCUCCUUCUGCAUGGUGGGGGUUGGAAAGUUUCGGCGGUUGGGGAUGGACUCGCGGCUUAUCAGCUUGUUGGUGGGGUAGUGGCUUACCAAGGCUUUGACGGGUAGCCGGCCUGAGAGGGUGACCGGCCACAUUGGGACUGAGAUACGGCCCAGACUCCUACGGGAGGCAGCAGUGGGGAAUAUUGCACAAUGGGCGGAAGCCUGAUGCAGCAACGCCGCGUGCGGGAUGACGGCCUUCGGGUUGUAAACCGCUUUCGCCUGUGACGAAGCGUGAGUGACGGUAAUGGGUAAAGAAGCACCGGCUAACUACGUG
This 468-nucleotide ribosomal RNA is filed under the name uncultured bacterium. RNAcentral describes it as "partial 16S ribosomal RNA". It matches the Rfam family "Bacterial small subunit ribosomal RNA", at positions 28 to 507 of the family's 1533-position model. The record is from RNAcentral.